GAAACCAAUGUUCUAAUGACCGAAACGAAUACGUAUUACACUUUACGAAAAGCAAACGUUAUGUUUUACGACUGAAUAAAAAUAAACAUAAAAUGAUGAAAAGUGUUUGAAACAAAUGUGAGUUUCGCAAUGCUUCUACCGCCUUUGGAACAAAAUGUGUUGCGAUCGUUGGCUGCCAAUACUGAUUGGUAUUACAGCUAUUAUUAUAUCAACAAAUGGAACGGGAGUGGACCGUCUUAGUAACGACGAUAGAAUGAAACAACAUGAAAUGGACUAUGGGGAACGUCUGUCAAGUAAGUAA
Molecule: long non-coding RNA, 301 nt
Organism: Cydia amplana
Lineage: Eukaryota; Metazoa; Arthropoda; Insecta; Lepidoptera; Tortricidae
Exons: 4
Source: RefSeq, a predicted model, not a curated record